RNAcentral lists this ribosomal RNA (548 nucleotides) under uncultured Glomus. RNAcentral describes it as "SSU rRNA". It matches the Rfam family "Eukaryotic small subunit ribosomal RNA", at positions 548 to 1098 of the family's 1831-position model. The record is from RNAcentral. Lineage: Eukaryota; Fungi; Glomeromycota; Glomeromycetes; Glomerales; Glomeraceae.
UUGGAGGGCAAGUCUGGUGCCAGCAGCCGCGGUAAUUCCAGCUCCAAUAGCGUAUAUUAAAGUUGUUGCAGUUAAAAAGCUCGUAGUUGAAUUUCGGGAUCAAUUUAUUGGUCGUGCUAUUGUACGUACUGGUAUUAUUGAUUCCUACCUUCUGACGAACCACGAUGUCAUUAAUUUGGUGUCAUGGGGAAUCAGGACUGUUACUUUGAAAAAAUUAGAGUGUUUAAAGCAGGCUCACGCUUGAAUACAUUAGCAUGGAAUAACGAAAUAGGACGUUUGAUUCUAUUUUGUUGGUUUCUAGGAUCGACGUAAUGAUUAAUAGGGAUAGUUGGGGGCAUUAGUAUUCAAUUGUCAGAGGUGAAAUUCUUGGAUUUAUUGAAGACUAGCUACUGCGAAAGCAUUUGCCAAGGAUGUUUUCAUUAAUCAAGAACGAAAGUUAGGGGAUCGAAGACGAUCAGAUACCGUCGUAGUCUUAACCAUAAACUAUGCCGACUAGGGAUCGGAUGAUGUUAAUUUUUUAAUGACUCAUUCGGCGCCUUACGGGAAAC